RNAcentral lists this ribosomal RNA (253 nucleotides) under uncultured bacterium. RNAcentral's name for it is "partial 16S ribosomal RNA". It matches the Rfam family "Bacterial small subunit ribosomal RNA", at positions 524 to 776 of the family's 1533-position model. The record is from RNAcentral.
UACGUAGGGCGCGAGCGUUGUCCGGAAUUAUUGGGCGUAAAGAGCUCGUAGGCGGCCUGUUGCGUCCGCUGUGAAAUCCCAGGGCUCAACCCUGGGCGUGCAGUGGAUACGGGCAGGCUGGAGGCAGUCAGGGGAGAACGGAAUUCCCGGUGUAGCGGUGAAAUGCGCAGAUAUCAGGAGGAACACCGGUGGCGAAGGCGGAUCUCUGGGCCGUAACUGACGCUGAGGAGCGAAAGCAUGGGGAGCGAACAGG